GGCAGGUAGUCUAGUGGUUAGAGGCAGGUAGUCUAGUGGUUAGAGGAGGCAGGUAGUCUAGUGGUUAGAGGCAGGUAGUCUAGUGGUUAGAGGAGGCAGGUAGCCUAGUGGUUAGAGGAGGCAGGUAGCCUAGUGGUUAGAGGAGGCAGGUAGUCUAGUGGUUAGAGGAGGCAGGUAGUCUAGUGGUUAGAGGAGGCAGGUAGUCUAGUGGUUAGAGGCAGGUAGUCUAGUGGUUAGAGGAGGCAGGUAGUCUAGUGGUUAGAGGCAGGUAGCCUUGUGGUUAGAGGAGGCAGGUAGUCUAGUGGUUAGAGGAGGCAGGUAGUCUAGUGGUUAGAGGCAGGUAGUCUAGUGGUUAGAGGAGGCAGGUAGCCUAGUGGUUAGAGGCAGGUAGCCUAGUGAUUAGAGGAGGCAGGUAGCCUAGUGGUUAGAGGAGGCA
This is a long non-coding RNA of Oncorhynchus masou masou (cherry salmon), 436 nucleotides long. RefSeq lists it as uncharacterized. Lineage: Eukaryota; Metazoa; Chordata; Actinopteri; Salmoniformes; Salmonidae. The record is from RefSeq and is a predicted model, not a curated record. The transcript is spliced from 3 exons.